CGAACGCUGGCGGCCGGCCUAACACAUGCAAGUCGAGCGCGCCCUUCGGGGUGAGCGGCGGACGGGUGAGUAACGCGUGGGAACGUGCCCUUUUCUACGGAAUAGCCUCGGGAAACUGAGAGUAAUACCGUAUACGCCCUUUGGGGGAAAGAUUUAUCGGAAAAGGAUCGGCCCGCGUUGGAUUAGGUAGUUGGUGGGGUAAUGGCCUACCAAGCCGACGAUCCAUAGCUGGUUUGAGAGGAUGAUCAGCCACACUGGGACUGAGACACGGCCCAGACUCCUACGGGAGGCAGCAGUGGGGAAUCUUAGACAAUGGGGGCAACCCUGAUCUAGCCAUGCCGCGUGAGUGAUGAAGGCCUUAGGGUUGUAAAGCUCUUUCAGCUGGGAAGAUAAUGACGGUACCAGCAGAAGAAGCCCCGGCUAACUCCGUG
This 431-nucleotide ribosomal RNA is filed under the name uncultured bacterium. RNAcentral describes it as "partial 16S ribosomal RNA". It matches the Rfam family "Bacterial small subunit ribosomal RNA", at positions 30 to 507 of the family's 1533-position model. The record is from RNAcentral.